UCAAAUUUGAAAUCUGGGCCUUUCAGGCUCCGAGUUGUAAUUUGUAGAAGAUGCUUUGGGUGCGGCCCCGGUCUAAGUUCCUUGGAACAGGACGUCAUAGAGGGUGAGAAUCCCGUAUGUGAUCGGUGGCCUGCGCCCGUGUAAAGCUCUUUCGACGAGUCGGGUUGUUUGGGAAUGCAGCUCUAAAUGGGUGGUAAAUUUCAUCUAAAGCUAAAUAUUGGCCAGAGACCGAUAGCGCACAAGUAGAGUGAUCGAAAGAUGAAAAGCACUUUGGAAAGAGAGUUAAACAGUACGUGAAAUUGUUGAAAGGGAAGCGCUUGCAACCAGACUUGCGCGGGGUUGAUCAUCCGGGGUUCUCCCCGGUGCACUCGGCCCCGCUCAGGCCAGCAUCGGUUUCGGUGGUUGGAUAAAGGCCUUGGGAAUGUGACUUCCUUCGGGGAGUGUUAUAGCCCUCGGUGCAAUGCAGCCUACCGGGACCGAGGACCGCGCUUCGGCUAGGAUGCUGGCGUAAUGGUUGUAAGCGACCCGUCUUGAAACACGGACCAAGGAGUCUAACAUCUAUGCGAGUGUUUGGGUGUCAAACCCAUACGCGUAAUGAAAGUGAACGGAGGUGAGAACCCUUAAGGGUGCAUCAUCGACCGAUCCUGAUGUCUUCGGAUGGAUUUGAGUAAGAGCAUAGCUGUUGGGACCCGAAAGAUGGUGAACUAUGCCUGAAUAGGGUGAAGCCAGAGGAAACUCUGGUGGAGGCUCGCAGCGGUUCUGACGUGCAAAUCGAUCGUCAAAUUUGGGCAUAGGGGCGAAAGACUAAUCGAACCAUCCGUAUGGCACGGAGGAUAUCUCCUAUAAAUGCUCUCUUUGGACAAGAGCAGUUGCUAGGUGGUUAAGAGGCUACCCUAAUAGGUAGCCUAGUCCUAGGCCUAGGGCAACAUUGUCAAAUUGUUCGGGGACGUCCUGUUAAUGCUAAGCUACCGCAGCCUCUCCGAAAGGGAGGUGCGCACCAGGUGUAAUGGCCUCGGGGAUGGUAACAACGCUUAGUUAGGGAUAAUCCGCAGCCAAGCCCUGUCGGGACACCCUAGAGUGUCCCUAUGGGUGCAGUUCACAGACUAGAUGUCAGUGGGUGCUAC
RNAcentral lists this ribosomal RNA (1124 nucleotides) under Pezicula rubi. RNAcentral describes it as "eukaryotic LSU rRNA". It matches the Rfam family "Eukaryotic large subunit ribosomal RNA", at positions 109 to 1274 of the family's 3401-position model. Lineage: Eukaryota; Fungi; Ascomycota; Leotiomycetes; Helotiales; Dermateaceae. The record is from RNAcentral.